UAGCAAUAUAUUGUCUUAAAUUUAGCAUAUAAAUAAUAAUCAUAUACAUCAUAUUAGUAUACAUCAAUAUACUUAUUUAAUAUGGACAAUUUAUAAAUUGGGGGCCAACACGACAACAUCAUCUGCAAAGAGCAGAGACGAAAUUGUGUGGUCCCCAAACCUGACACCCUCCGGCCCCUGGCUGCGCCUAGAAAUUCUGUCCAUAAAAAUUACGAACAGAACCGGUGACAAAGGGCAGCCCUGCCGGAGUCCAACAUGCACUGGGAACAAGUCUGACUUACUGCCGGCAAUGCGGACCAAGCUCCUGCUUCGGUUGUACAGGGACCUGACAGCCCUUAGCAAAGGACCCAGGACACCAUAUUCCCCAAGCACCCUCCACAAGAUGCCGCAAGGGACACAGUCGAAUGCCUUCUCCAAAUCCACAAAACACAUGUGGAUUGGUUGGGCAAACUCCCAUGAACAACGAAUUCUACCAAAUCUAAUAUUUUGUAUGGCCUCCAUGAUUUUUAAAGACAGCACCAACUUUUCUGAACAUGGAGUGAAGUUGGUGACAUACUGCCACGUCUAUCUUUGUCCAUUCUUGGAGAAUGAGCUCUUUCAGAGACUGGAUGCUGGACGGAAAAUUAUGCUGGACCUGUCUGUUCAGAACUCCCCAUAGGUGUUCUAUUGGGUUGAGGUCAGGUGACAUACUUGGCCACUGAAUGACUUUCACCCUGUUCUUCCUCAGAAAUGCAGCAGUGGUCUUGUAUGUUACUUUUGGGUCAUUAUCAUGUUGACAGAGAGCCCAGUGACCCAGGGUGUGGAGAGAUAGUAGCAUCUUCUCUUGCAGUAUUUCUCAGUACAUCUGUGAAUUCAUGAUACCCUCAAUGAAGUGCAAUUCCCCGACACCUGCAGCACUCAUACAACCCCACAGAAGAACACUAGUACCGCCAUGCUUUUGCUGUGGGUACCAUGCUUUACUGUGGGUACCAUGCUUUACUGUAGGUACCAUGCUUUACUGUGGGUACCAUGCUUUACUGUGGGUACCAUGCUUUACUGUAGGUACCAUGCUUUACUGUGGGUACCAUGCUUUACUGUGGAUUUCAUGCUUUACUGUGGGUACCAUGCUUUACUGUAGGUACCAUGCUUUACUGUGGGUAGUGUGGGUACCAUGCUUUACUGUGGGUAUUAUGGUUUACUGUGUGUACCAUGGUUUACUGUGGGUACCAUGCUUUACUGUGGGUGCCAUGCUUUACUGUGGGUACCAUGCUUUACUGUGGAUACCAUGUUUUACUGUGGGUACCAUGCUUUACUGUGGGUAACAUGCUUUACUGUGGGUAUCAUGCUUUACUGUGUGUACCAUGCUUUACCGUAAGUACCAUGCUUUACUGUGGGUACCAUGUUUUACUGUGUGUACCAUGCUUUAUUGUGGGUACCAUGCUUUUCUUUGGGUUUCAUGUUUUACUGUGGGUACCAUGCUUUACUGUGGGUACCGUGCUUUAUUGUGGGUACUGUGGGUACCAUGCUUUACUGUGGGUACCAUGCUUUACUGUGGAUUUCAUGCUUUACUGUGGGUACCAUGCUUUACUGUAGGUACCAUGCUUUACUGUGGGUAGUGUGGGUACCAUGCUUUACUGUGGGUAUUAUGGUUUACUGUGUGUACCAUGGUUUACUGUGGGUACCAUGCUUUACUAUGGGUACCAUGCUUUACAAAUGUCAUUGCACUCUUCCCCCUUGAAACACCAUACAGUUUGGAUGCCAUCAUUUCCUAAACAAUUGACCUUUGUUUCAUCUGACCAAAUGAUGGAGUCCCAAUAUUCUUCACUUUUAUGAACAAAUGCUAAACAGUCUUUUUUGUACAUGGGUUUUAUCAGUGGCUUCCUUCGUGGACGACAUCCUUGCAUGCCACUCCUGUGCAGCAUACGUCGUAUCGUGUCACGUGAAACAGUCACCCCAGUUUGUCUUUCUACAGCUUUCACUCACUGUGAUGAACGUGCAUGGUGAUUUUCCUCAACUCUUCUUAGGACAAAACACUCAUCUGGAGGUGUUAUCUUCUGUGGUCGGCCUGGAUGUCUCAGAAUGCUUGUCACAUGUCCAUCCUUUUUCAAUAUUUUAAUAACUUUUGCUAAUGUAUUCUGACUGAUUAGCAUUGUUUUACUAAUUGUCUUGUAGCCCUGACCAUUUUUAUGUAAUAAGAUCGCUUUUCCUGGUUUCCCAUUUGUUCACGAACUCACCCGGACCCCUUCAUUGUCUUGUCUCCAAUCUUCACUCACACCAGGUGCCAAUUAAGUCAUCAGUAUGUGUUUAAAUGUUUCUCCUCUGCUCCCCCCAUUUGUUGGUUAUUGUUCCCUCUCUUCAUAUGUUCACGGCAGUGGUGAGUGUCGGUUUGCUGCAAAGCCAGCCCUUUGUUUUCUUCCCGUUUGUUUAAGUGUGUUAUUUUCUAUUAAAUGAUCAUCAUGGACUGCCACUCUGUCUGCCCCUGGUUCCUCCUCUCCAACACAACACCAUCGUGACAUGACAUUUCUCUUCCAUGUGGGGCCAUAAUUGUCAGCAUUGACUGGGAGGAGAUUGUACAGUAACUGGAUCCUCUACUUCAGUCCUAGUAGGAGUGGUUGUGGGUCCGGUUGUUGCUGCUGUUCUACUGACCGUCUUCCUGGUCCUGCUUUGUCGAUAUCAAAAGAGCAAAGG
Long non-coding RNA from Esox lucius (northern pike), 2667 nucleotides. Lineage: Eukaryota; Metazoa; Chordata; Actinopteri; Esociformes; Esocidae. The record is from Ensembl.